This 680-nucleotide ribosomal RNA is filed under the name Escherichia coli. RNAcentral describes it as "partial 23S ribosomal RNA". It matches the Rfam family "Bacterial large subunit ribosomal RNA", at positions 2263 to 2925 of the family's 2925-position model. Lineage: Bacteria; Pseudomonadati; Pseudomonadota; Gammaproteobacteria; Enterobacterales; Enterobacteriaceae. RNAcentral also lists the same sequence under 1 other name. The record is from RNAcentral.
GGGUAGUUUGACUGGGGCGGUCUCCUCCUAAAGAGUAACGGAGGAGCACGAAGGUUGGCUAAUCCUGGUCGGACAUCAGGAGGUUAGUGCAAUGGCAUAAGCCAGCUUGACUGCGAGCGUGACGGCGCGAGCAGGUGCGAAAGCAGGUCAUAGUGAUCCGGUGGUUCUGAAUGGAAGGGCCAUCGCUCAACGGAUAAAAGGUACUCCGGGGAUAACAGGCUGAUACCGCCCAAGAGUUCAUAUCGACGGCGGUGUUUGGCACCUCGAUGUCGGCUCAUCACAUCCUGGGGCUGAAGUAGGUCCCAAGGGUAUGGCUGUUCGCCAUUUAAAGUGGUACGCGAGCUGGGUUUAGAACGUCGUGAGACAGUUCGGUCCCUAUCUGCCGUGGGCGCUGGAGAACUGAGGGGGGCUGCUCCUAGUACGAGAGGACCGGAGUGGACGCAUCACUGGUGUUCGGGUUGUCAUGCCAAUGGCACUGCCCGGUAGCUAAAUGCGGAAGAGAUAAGUGCUGAAAGCAUCUAAGCACGAAACUUGCCCCGAGAUGAGUUCUCCCUGACUCCUUGAGAGUCCUGAAGGAACGUUGAAGACGACGACGUUGAUAGGCCGGGUGUGUAAGCGCAGCGAUGCGUUGAGCUAACCGGUACUAAUGAACCGUGAGGCUUAACCUUACAACGCCGAAG